This 91-nucleotide transfer RNA is filed under the name Candidatus Saccharibacteria bacterium RIFCSPLOWO2_01_FULL_48_13. Its description in RNAcentral is "tRNA-OTHER". It matches the Rfam family "tRNA". From Rfam's summary of the family: Transfer RNA (tRNA) molecules are approximately 80 nucleotides in length. Their secondary structure includes four short double-helical elements and three loops (D, anti-codon, and T loops). Lineage: Bacteria; Candidatus Saccharimonadota. The record is from RNAcentral.
GGGUAUGUAGCUCAGGAAGGACCGCAAGGUUCUGGGAGAGCGCUCGCUUGCACGCGAGAGGUCGUUGGUUCGAAUCCAACCAUACCCACCU